GAAACGAUGUGGGAAGGCUCAGACAGCCAGGAUGUUGGCUUAGAAGCAGCCAUCAUUUAAAGAAAGCGUAAUAGCUCACUGGUCGAGUCGGCCUGCGCGGAAGAUGUAACGGGGCUAAACCAUGCACCGAAGCUGCGGCAGCGACACUAUGUGUUGUUGGGUAGGGGAGCGUUCUGUAAGCCGUUGAAGGUGUGUCGUGAGGCAUGCUGGAGGUAUCAGAAGUGCGAAUGCUGACAUAAGUAACGAUAAAGCGGGUGAAAAGCCCGCUCGCCGGAAGACCAAGGGUUCCUGUCCAACGUUAAUCGGGGCAGGGUGAGUCGACCCCUAAGGCGAGGCCGAAAGGCGUAGUCGAUGGGAAACAGGUUAAUAUUCCUGUACUUGGUGUUACUGCGAAGGGGGGACGGAGAAGGCUAUGUCGGCCGGGCGACGGUUG
This 433-nucleotide ribosomal RNA is filed under the name Citrobacter sedlakii. RNAcentral's name for it is "partial 23S ribosomal RNA". It matches the Rfam family "Bacterial large subunit ribosomal RNA", at positions 1067 to 1504 of the family's 2925-position model. Lineage: Bacteria; Pseudomonadati; Pseudomonadota; Gammaproteobacteria; Enterobacterales; Enterobacteriaceae. The record is from RNAcentral.